This is a long non-coding RNA of Condylura cristata (star-nosed mole), 484 nucleotides long. RefSeq lists it as uncharacterized. The transcript has 3 exons. The record is from RefSeq and is a predicted model, not a curated record. NCBI's taxonomy places the organism in Eukaryota, Metazoa, Chordata, Mammalia, Eulipotyphla, Talpidae.
GGCGCUGUGGACGCGGAGGGAAGAGGACUGGCGAGGAGUUCCAGGGGACACCAGGGGGCGCCGUGGCCUCUCUUUCGGAGCUGUUCAGGGUGGGGCAGGAGGACUGGCUGUGGAGGGGAGGGGAAGGCUUCCAUCCGGGCUGAGCUGGCAGAGGCUGUGAGUCAGCGGAGCUGGAGAUGCUUUGAUAACAGAGGGGAGGCUGGUCACAUUUGGACACAGGAAGUGCCCCCUGGCCCCCUGGCCCCCUUCUAGGGACCCCUGGUAUCAUCUGAGGACUCUCAAUGUCAUUGGCAAGUGGUGUCCCUCUGUACCUCAGUUUCCCCAUCAAGGUGAGGAGGCAGAAUCUAUUGCUCCUGAAAUAUCUGUUAGAAAGGGAAGAGGGGAGCCUUCCUGGUGGCUGAAGUUAACUGAAGCUAGCCAAAGCUAGCCAAAGCGGCCCUCCCUGGUGGCGCAGCGGGUUAAAGCACAGCACUAAGAAGCUUAA